GUCAACCCUAAGAAGAUGACUGAUAAUGGUCAAAAGGAAGAAAAGAUGGUGAGCAACACUUGAUGCUAAACGUGUCUACACAAUAAAAUCAGCAGAACAUUUCACAAAAAUAAGACUCAAACCACUUUUUUAGUUAGACAAGUUUAGCUAGACAAGUUACAAAUCUGGCAUAAUAAUGGUAGAAAUGGAGAAGCAUUAAAUGGAAUAAUCAAUAUACUUCCACAAUGUGUGGAAGAUUUAGUCAUCAAACACAGAAGCUGAUGGUCUUCUAUUAAAUCAUGCAAGUCUCUAACUCAGGUUGCAUGUCAGGACAAAAACGAAAAUGCCAAAGCAGAUUUAGCUGCAAGAAUAUGUACUGUGGUCAUCUUUCUCAGAUUCUUUUAAAAGCAAUGUCCAGGGCAGCUUUUUUGGAUGUCUCUUAUGCUGUGUGUAAGCAGUGAACAAGACAAAGUACUGAUCACGAAACGAGAUUGCAGUUGCCGAUUGUCUUCUGUGUAACUCAAGAUAAGUUGCUAGCUGCACUGAUUUUUAAGAUAUCACAUUAGAGCAAUGUUAUUUAAAAAUUUAAGACAUUGUAUUCUUUUUCAGAAGACAGUUGCCUUCUCCCAGUUGCUGAAAGGCAAUAUUGUGCUCGCUCUUGUAGCUCUUCCUCUUGUGGGACAUGUAAUCCACACACAGUGCAUGCACAGAUG
Long non-coding RNA from Schistocerca cancellata (South American locust), 692 nucleotides. RefSeq lists it as uncharacterized. The transcript has 3 exons. The record is from RefSeq and is a predicted model, not a curated record. Lineage: Eukaryota; Metazoa; Arthropoda; Insecta; Orthoptera; Acrididae.